RNAcentral lists this unclassified non-coding RNA (208 nucleotides) under soil metagenome. RNAcentral's name for it is "partial contains 5.8S ribosomal RNA, internal transcribed spacer 2, and large subunit ribosomal RNA". The record is from RNAcentral.
AACCAUUCUCACCUGCGGCUAGACCUGCGGAGGGAUCAUUACCGAGUUUACAACUCCCAAACCCCUGUGAACAUACCUAUAUGUUGCCUCGGCGGAUCAGCCCGCGCCCCGUAAAACGGGACGGCCCGCCGCAGGAUCCACAAACUCUGUUUUUAUUGUAACUUCUGAGUAACAAAACAAAUAAAUCAAAACUUUCAGCAAUGGAUCU